Molecule: ribosomal RNA, 910 nt
Filed under: uncultured bacterium
Lineage: Bacteria
Description: bacterial SSU rRNA
Rfam family: Bacterial small subunit ribosomal RNA
Source: RNAcentral
ACGCUGGCUACAGGCUUAACACAUGCAAGUCGAGGGGAAACGACGGGGAAGCUUGCUUCCUUGGGCGUCGACCGGCGCACGGGCGAGUAACGCGUAUCCAACCUGCCUCUGACUGAGGGAUAACCCGUCGAAAGUCGGCCUAAUACCUCAUGGUAUCGUCUGCGGGCAUCCAAUGACGAUUAAAGAUUUCAUCGGUCAGGGAUGGGGAUGCGUCUGAUUAGCUUGUUGGCGGGGUAACGGCCCACCAAGGCGACGAUCAGUAGGGGUUCUGAGAGGAAGGUCCCCCACAUUGGAACUGAGACACGGUCCAAACUCCUACGGGAGGCAGCAGUGAGGAAUAUUGGUCAAUGGGCGAGAGCCUGAACCAGCCAAGUAGCGUGCAGGAUGACGGCCCUAUGGGUUGUAAACUGCUUUUAUGCGGGGAUAAAGUGAGGGACGUGUCUUUCAUUGCAGGUACCGCAUGAAUAAGGACCGGCUAAUUCCGUGCCAGCAGCCGCGGUAAUACGGAAGCUCCGGGCGUUAUCCGGAUUUAUUGGGUUUAAAGGGAGCGUAGGCCGUGGAUUAAGCGUGUUGUGAAAUGCAGGUGCUCAACGUCUGCACUGCAGCGCGAACUGGUCCACUAGAGUGUGCACAACGCAGGCGGAAUUCGUCGUGUAGCGGUGAAAUGCUUAGAUAUGACGAAGAACUCCGAUUGCGAAGGCAGCUUGCGGGAGCACAACUGACGCUGAAGCUCGAAAGUGCGGGUAUCGAACAGGAUUAGAUACCCUGGUAGUCCGCACGGUAAACGAUGGAUGCCCGUUGCCAGGCUGUUUCAGCCUGGUGACCAAGCGAAAGCAUUAAGCAUCCCACCUGGGGAGUACGCCGGCAACGGUGAAACUCAAGGAAUUGACGGGGGCCCGCACAAGCGGAG